AGGGUUCGAUUCUGGCUCAGGAUGAACGCUAGCGACAGGCUUAACACAUGCAAGUCGAGGGGCAGCAUAGAAGUAGCAAUACUUGGUGGCGACCGGCGCACGGGUGAGUAACGCGUAUGCAACCUACCUAUCAGAGGGGAAUAACCCGGCGAAAGUCGGACUAAUACCGCAUAAAACAGGGGCACCGCAUGGUGAUAUUUGUUAAAGAAAUUCGCUGAUAGAUGGGCAUGCGUUCCAUUAGGUAGUUGGUGAGGUAACGGCUCACCAAGCCGACGAUGGAUAGGGGAACUGAGAGGUUGGUCCCCCACACUGGUACUGAGACACGGACCAGACUCCUACGGGAGGCAGCAGUGAGGAAUAUUGGUCAAUGGGCGAGAGCCUGAACCAGCCAAGUCGCGUGAAGGAAGAAGGAUCUAUGGUUCGUAAACUUCUUUUGCAGGGGAAUAAAGUGCAGGACGUGUCCUGUUUUGUAUGUACCCUGAGAAUAAGGAUCGGCUAACUCCGUGCCAGCAGCCGC
This 517-nucleotide ribosomal RNA is filed under the name uncultured bacterium. Its description in RNAcentral is "bacterial SSU rRNA". It matches the Rfam family "Bacterial small subunit ribosomal RNA", at positions 8 to 518 of the family's 1533-position model. The record is from RNAcentral.